RNAcentral lists this ribosomal RNA (371 nucleotides) under uncultured bacterium. RNAcentral describes it as "bacterial SSU rRNA". It matches the Rfam family "Bacterial small subunit ribosomal RNA", at positions 434 to 793 of the family's 1533-position model. The record is from RNAcentral.
CAGCAGUGAGGAAGGUGGUAGUGUUAAUAGCACUAUCAUUUGACGUUAGCUGCAGAAGAAAGCACCGGCUAACUCCGUGCCAGCAGCCGCGGUAAUACGGAGGGUGCGAGCGUUAAUCGGAAUUACUGGGCGUAAAGCGCAUGCAGGUGGUUUGUUAAGUCAGAUGUGAAAGACCCGGGGCGUCAACCUCGGAAUUGCAUUUGUAAACUAGGCAGACUAGAGUACUGUAGAGGGGGGUAGGAAUUUCAGGUGUAGCGGUGAAAUGCGUAGAGAUCUGAAGGAAUACCGGUGGCGAAGGCGGCCCCCUCGGACAGAUACUGACACUCAGAUGCGAAAGCGUGGGGAGCAAACAGGAUUAGAUACCCUGGUAG